CGGCUCACCUCAACCUCCGCCUCCCGGGUUCAAGCGAUUCUCCUGCGUCAGCCUCCCGAGUAGCUGGGACUCCAGGCUAUGAGUCACCACCACGCCCGGAUAAUGUUUGUGUUUUUAGUAGACACCGGGUUUCGCCGUCUCUCCCAGACGCGAGGCUGGUCUUGAACUCCCGACCUCAAGCAAUCCACCCGCCUCGGCUUCCCAAAGUGCUGGGAUUCCAAAGGGUGUGUGAGCCCCCCGCGCCUGGCCUUGUGUGUUCCGGUAACCGUAACGUCUCCGGGCGAGGAUCUCUGACAACGGGUCCGCCCGGACAGCACGUGGCCUGAUCUGAAGCCGGGCUGGAGACACGGUCUGGACCCCACGCUCCCGCCCGAGGCCGCCUCCAGCCGGAUCCUGCCCCUGGGAGCUGUGCAAACAUCAUAAAUCCUGCUAAUUGCCACGUUCCCCGCAGCCAGAAUCCGUGGUCUGUCUACAGUGGCCUCACAGUCUCCAGCCAAGAGUUUCAAUCUUUGCUUCUGGACAAAUAUUACCGAGAAACGUCCGCACAGCCCGGGCGCCCGGCUCCCACAUCACAGGGUCUGCGUCUCAGAAACCCACUUGUGUGUGCCGGGAGCCGACGUCAGGCCAGAUCGGCAGACGCCCGGACGCGCUAAUCCCCCCACCACCGCCUUCCAGGCCACCUGGCCACACAGGACGCUCCGGGCUUCCCGUAAGAACGGCCGUGCCUGUGACCUGCGGGUGGGGUCGCCUCCCCGGCGUGCUUGCCAGGUGCCCCCACAGAACGGGGUCCGUGCAGCGCUGGGACCGGUCGCCGUAGCAUAUCCUCCUGACAGAGACGGAAAGAAAGCGGCUGUUCGAUUUUAAAAAUUUAAAAAAAAAAAAGGGAGCUCCC
Non-coding RNA from Chlorocebus sabaeus (green monkey), 892 nucleotides. The record is from RefSeq and is a predicted model, not a curated record. Lineage: Eukaryota; Metazoa; Chordata; Mammalia; Primates; Cercopithecidae.